This 253-nucleotide ribosomal RNA is filed under the name uncultured bacterium. RNAcentral describes it as "partial 16S ribosomal RNA". It matches the Rfam family "Bacterial small subunit ribosomal RNA", at positions 524 to 776 of the family's 1533-position model. The record is from RNAcentral.
UACGUAGGGGGCAAGCGUUGUCCGGAAUCAUUGGGCGUAAAGCGCGCGUAGGCGGCCCGGUAAGUCCGCUCUGAAAGUCCAGGGCUCAACCCUGGGAUGCCGGUGGAUACUGUCGGGCUCGAGUCCGGAAGAGGCGAGUGGAAUUCCUGGUGUAGCGGUGAAAUGCGCAGAUAUCAGGAGGAACACCAAUGGCGAAGGCAGCUCGCUGGGACGUGACUGACGCUGAGACGCGAAAGCGUGGGGAGCAAACAGG